This 296-nucleotide unclassified non-coding RNA is filed under the name uncultured fungus. RNAcentral describes it as "partial contains small subunit ribosomal RNA, internal transcribed spacer 1, and 5.8S ribosomal RNA". The stretch from base 1 to 73 matches the Rfam family "Eukaryotic small subunit ribosomal RNA", at positions 1759 to 1831 of the family's 1831-position model. The record is from RNAcentral. Lineage: Eukaryota; Fungi.
GCAAACUUGGUCAUUUAGAGGAAGUAAAAGUCGUAACAAGGUCUCCGUAGGUGAACCUGCGGAGGGAUCAUUACAGAGUUCGUGCCCUCACGGGUAGAUCUCCCACCCUUGUGUAUUCAUACCUUUGUUGCUUUGGCAGGCCGCCUGGGCUUACGGCCUGGCCACCGGCUUCCGGGCUGGUGCGUGCCUGCCAGAGGAUCUCCAAACUCUAGUUAUCAGUGUCGUCUGAGUAUCAUACAAUCGUUAAAACUUUCAACAACGGAUCUCUUGGUUCUGGCAUCGAUGAAGAACGCAGC